GCAUCUGUCACCUCCAAUCCAGGUCACUGAUGGUGUAAUCCAUACAAAAAAAGUGAUGAAUGUUUCAGAACACAUCGAGAGGGAUGACGGCACUAUGCGAUUGCAAUGGUUCUGGUGGUGCUAGCAAACGUGCAUGAGAGAGGGGUUCAAAUCUGACAUGGUGAUUUGUGUGUUAAUGGUUACGAAUUCUGGUUCGAUGGUUUCGAUGGUGGUCCAUCGAGAUCUCACAAAGAGCCAAUUUUGUUUCAUUGAAAAUUUUCUCCACGCAGCUUUUUAACUCGUCAGUAGAACAAGCAAAAGUACUUCGAGUCUUUAUCUCUAUCAUUGAAUUUCCCUUUCAUUUAAUUAAUCUUUGAAAGUAAAUGAAAGAGAAAAUUUUCAUUAUAACUGGAAAACUUUUCACAAACUUUGUCAGCAUACAUAGGAAUAGGAAUCUUUCAUUUUGAAUCACUCAAAAUCUUCAUAACCAAUUUAUCUUUCAUUUUCCUUUGUUAGCAUAUCAUAGGAACUUUUCACAAAAUGUUAAUCUUCGUAAUUGGAUUGUGUUAUGGAACCAAGAAUUGCAGCUUAAGGAAUGAAGGAAUUUCUUGUACCUCGGAAUUUUUCAGCCCUUAGCAAUCCAACCAAUUGGGUCUUCCCCCACAAAUGCUGGCAGCUCCCCCUUACCCCAAAUUUGCGCUUCCUCCAUCUCUAACACCAGUUCUCCCUCAAAGAUCCAGCAAGUUGGACCAAUUGUUAGGAACCAAGAAUUGAAAUGAGAAAGAAAAGAGAAUUUUAUUGACUGGUAAAAAAAGAACAGAAAUAGGAGAGAAAACUCUCCUCCAAUGGUUCCCCCUUCACAAAGGAUUUCUCCUUUCAAAAAGAGCUAAUGCUCAAUUUACAAUGACAAAAAAAACUCUCUUUCUCCUAUCCUUCUUCUCUUAUAUAUAUCUAAUCAACCCCUCUAACUAACUAACUAACUAACUCAUUAAUAGUCUAACCAUCUUAACUAACUUUCCCUUCUCUUUUUAUCCUAACAAAUUGGAAAAAAUUUUAAUGUGUGCAUGAAUUAGAAUUUGUUGAUUCAUUGUGUUGUGAUUUGCAAUUUGAAGGUUAUGGAAGUGGAAGUGGCUCUCACUUGCUGAAGAAGAGAGAAGCAACUUUUGGCAGUAUUUAAACUGCCAAAAAAUGGUUUCUAUUCAUUAAAGACUAUUAUGAAGCAUUAUCUGGCGGUUUAGAACUGCCAAAAAAUGAGCCUCCACAAAACGUAAAAAAAUAUUAAAAACAUUAAUGUCACAUCAUCAUUUAAUGGUGAAAAUUAACGUCAAGGAACAAAAUUGGCACCAGAAGGAAAAAUUAGAAACUUUGACAGGUCAAACUUUUGUUCAGGAACUAAAAACAGAAUUCUAAAAAAGUUCAGGGACUAAAUACAUAAUUAAUCCUAUUUUUAAUAAUAAAAUAUGUUUUGAAAAUUAUAAUAGUUAGACAAG
Molecule: long non-coding RNA, 1469 nt
Filed under: Glycine max (soybean)
Lineage: Eukaryota; Viridiplantae; Streptophyta; Magnoliopsida; Fabales; Fabaceae
Description: long non-coding RNA (GMAX_LNC002106)
Source: RNAcentral